Molecule: long non-coding RNA, 330 nt
Organism: Bos taurus (domestic cattle)
Lineage: Eukaryota; Metazoa; Chordata; Mammalia; Artiodactyla; Bovidae
Source: Ensembl
GCAAAGGCCAGGCCUGGGGGUUUAGCUGACAGAAAAAUGAAUUAGAAACAUCUUCGAUUUACAUUUUGGAGAACGAAGGUGGCACUAGUAAGGAGCCUGCCUGCAAAUGCAGGAGACGUAAGAGAUUCGGGUUCGAUCCCUGGGUCAAGAAGAUCCCCUGGAGAAGGGCAUGGCAACUCACUCUAGUAUUCUUGCCCGGAGAGUCCCGUGAAGAGAGAACCUGGAGGGCUGUAGUCCACGGAGUUGCAAAGAGUCAGACACAACUGACGCUACUGAGCAUGCUUGUUUCUCCUUGCAGCACAAAAGCUGGUAGAAUGAAGUGGGUGUAAG